RNAcentral lists this transfer RNA (74 nucleotides) under Escherichia coli. RNAcentral's name for it is "tRNA-Lys(ttt)". It matches the Rfam family "tRNA". Rfam says of the family: Transfer RNA (tRNA) molecules are approximately 80 nucleotides in length. Their secondary structure includes four short double-helical elements and three loops (D, anti-codon, and T loops). Further hydrogen bonds mediate the characteristic L-shaped molecular structure. tRNAs have two regions of fundamental functional importance: the anti-codon, which is responsible for specific mRNA codon recognition, and the 3' end, to which the tRNAs corresponding amino acid is attached (by aminoacyl-tRNA synthetases). tRNAs cope with the degeneracy of the genetic code in two manners: having more than one tRNA (with a specific anti-codon) for a particular amino acid; and 'wobble' base-pairing, i.e. permitting non-standard base-pairing at the 3rd anti-codon position. Lineage: Bacteria; Pseudomonadati; Pseudomonadota; Gammaproteobacteria; Enterobacterales; Enterobacteriaceae. The record is from RNAcentral.
GGGUCGUUAGCUCAUGGUAGAGCAGUUGACUUUUAAUCAAUUGGUCGCAGGUUCGAAUCCUGCACGACCCACCA